RNAcentral lists this transfer RNA (69 nucleotides) under Meteorus sp. 2 XHS-2023a. Its description in RNAcentral is "tRNA-Thr". Lineage: Eukaryota; Metazoa; Arthropoda; Insecta; Hymenoptera; Braconidae. The record is from RNAcentral.
AGUUAAAUAAUUUAAUAAAAAUAUUAAUUUUGUAAAUUAAAUAUAAAUAUAAAUUGUAUUUUUUAACUA